UUAAGCAUAUCAAUAAGCGGAGGAAAAGAAACUAACAAGGAUUCCCCUAGUAGCGGCGAGCGAAGCGGGAUGAGCUCAAAUUUGUAAUCUGGCGUCUCCCGACGUCCGAGUUGUAAUCUAUAGAAGCGUUUUCCGUGACGGACCGCGUCCAAGUCCCUUGGAAUAGGGUAUCAAAGAGGGUGAGAAUCCCGUGCUUGAUGCGACGACCGUUGCCCUGUGAUACGUUCUCUACGAGUCGAGUUGUUUGGGAAUGCAGCUCUAAACGGGUGGUAAAUUCCAUCUAAGGCUAAAUAUUGGCGAGAGACCGAUAGCGAACAAGUACCGUGAGGGAAAGAUGAAAAGCACUUUGGAAAGAGAGUUAAACAGUAUGUGAAAUUGUUGAAAGGGAAACGAUUGAAGUCAGUCGUGUCCAUCGGAUUCAGCCGGCCCCGCCGGUGUAUUUCCUUUGGACGGGUCAACGGUCUUCUGGUCGGCGGAUAAAGGCAUGCGGAAGGUGGCACCCUCGGGUGUGUUAUAGCCUCGUGUCUCAUACGCCGGUCGGGGGAUUUGUACUUGGGCUUGCCCAUGUUGUUGACGUAAUGGCUUUAAACGACCCGUCUUGAAACACGGACCAAGGAGUCUAACAUGCCUGCGAGUGUUUGGGUGUCAAACCCAUGACGCGCAAUGAAAGUGAAUGCAGGAGGGAUCCGCAAGGAGCACCUUCGACCGAUCUGGAUCUUCUGUGAUGGAUUUGAGUAAGAGCAUGCAUGCUGGGACCCGAAAGAUGGUGAACUAUGCCUGAAUAGGGUGAAGCCAGGGGAAACUCUGGUGGAGGCCCGUAGCGAUUCUGACGGCAAAUCGAUCGUCAAA
Molecule: ribosomal RNA, 849 nt
Filed under: Sugitazyma miyagiana
Lineage: Eukaryota; Fungi; Basidiomycota; Tremellomycetes; Tremellales; Trimorphomycetaceae
Description: LSU rRNA
Rfam family: Eukaryotic large subunit ribosomal RNA
Source: RNAcentral